GUUUCAGCCGCCGCGGUAAUACGGAAGGUCCGGGCGUUAUCCGGAUUUAUUGGGUUUAAAGGGAGCGUAGGCCGGAGAUUAAGCGUGUUGUGAAAUGUAGGUGCUCAACAUCUGCACUGCAGCGCGAACUGGUUUCCUUGAGUACGCACAAAGUGGGCGGAAUUCGUGGUGUAGCGGUGAAAUGCUUAGAUAUCACGAAGAACUCCGAUUGCGAAGGCAGCUCACUGGAGCGCAACUGACGCUGAAGCUCGAAAGUGCGGGUAUCGAACAGGAUUAGAUACCCUGGUAGUCCGCACGGUAAACGAUGGAUGCCCGCUGUUGGUCUGAAUAGGUCAGCGGCCAAGCGAAAGCAUUAAGCAUCCCACCUGGGGAGUACGCCGGCAACGGUGAAACUCAAAGGAAUUGACGGGGGCCCGCACAAGCGGAGGAACAUGUGGUUUAAUUCGAUGAUACGCGAGGAACCUUACCCGGGCUUGAAUUGCAGAGGAAGGAUUUGGAGACAAUGACGCCCUUUGGGGUCUCUGUGAAGGUGCUGCAUGGUUGUCGUCAGCUCGUGCCGUGAGGUGUCGGCUUAAGUGCCAUAACGAGCGCAACCCCUCUCCUUAGUUGCCAUCAGGUCAGGCUGGGCACUCUGGGGACACUGCCACCGUAAGGUGUGAGGAAGGUGGGGAUGACGUCAAAUCAGCACGGCCCUUACGUCCGGGGCUACACACGUGUUACAAUGGCAGGUACAGAGAGAUGGUGUUCUGCAAAGCGCAUCUAAUCCUUAAAGCCUGUCUCAGUUCGGACUGGGGUCUGCAACCCGACCCCACGAAGCUGGAUUCGCUAGUAAUCGCGCAUCAGCCAUGGCGCGGUGAAUACGUUCCCGGGCCUUGUACACACCGCCCGUCAAAC
This 894-nucleotide ribosomal RNA is filed under the name uncultured bacterium. RNAcentral's name for it is "bacterial SSU rRNA". It matches the Rfam family "Bacterial small subunit ribosomal RNA", at positions 505 to 1402 of the family's 1533-position model. The record is from RNAcentral.